AGUGAACGCUGGCGGUAGGCCUAACACAUGCAAGUCGAACGGCAGCACAGGAGAGCUUGCUCUCUGGGUGGCGAGUGGCGGACGGGUGAGGAAUACAUCGGAAUCUACUCUGUCGUGGGGGAGAACGUAGGGAAACUUACGCUAAUACCGCAUACGACCUACGGGUGAAAGCAGGGGAUCUUCGGACCUUGCGCGAUUGAAUGAGCCGAUGUCGGAUUAGCUAGGUGGCGGGGUAAAGGCCCACCAAGGCGACGAUCCGUAGCUGGUCUGAGAGGAUGAUCAGCCACACUGGAACUGAGACACGGUCCAGACUCCUACGGGAGGCAGCAGUGGGGAAUAUUGGACAAUGGGCGCAAGCCUGAUCCAGCCAUACCGCGUGGGUGAAGAAGGCCUUCGGGUUGUAAAGCCCUUUUGUUGGGAAAGAAAUCCAGCUGGUUAAUACCCGGUUGGGAUGACGGUACCCAAAGAAUAAACACCGGCUAACUUCGUGCCAGCCGCCGCCGUAA
Molecule: ribosomal RNA, 506 nt
Filed under: uncultured bacterium
Lineage: Bacteria
Description: partial 16S ribosomal RNA
Rfam family: Bacterial small subunit ribosomal RNA
Source: RNAcentral